UAUGGCAGAUUAGUGCAAUGA
RNAcentral lists this transfer RNA (21 nucleotides) under Simulium quinquestriatum. RNAcentral describes it as "partial tRNA-Leu". The record is from RNAcentral. Lineage: Eukaryota; Metazoa; Arthropoda; Insecta; Diptera; Simuliidae. RNAcentral also lists the same sequence under 2 other names.